AUUGCCUUCAAUCCAUGUGGACGUGCUUUCAGCUUUUUCUCCCCCUGCCCUUAUGAUUACACAAUGGAAAGGAAAACAACCACAGUGGGUCUUCCUUGUUGGAGGCUAUAACAUUGGGUGUUCCCUUCCAUCACCUGUGUUUUGGGUUUUACCCUAACCAACGUCAGGAUCCUUUCAUCUGAGGUGACAGAAAUCUACAAAUAUAGUAACAAUGCAAUCUGUUGCAGGAGAAAGCAAAGAAGAAAUUUUGGAACACCCUGCUCAGAGUCAGGCAUUUACCGGGAAACUCCAACCCUGCAGAGACCCCACCAGGCUGCCCAGUCUCCAGGAAGGUGCCGCUUGUUACAGAACCUGUUUCUAGUGUCUACCUCAAUCAGCAGACAUGUCUGGCUCAAUAAAUUGACACACUCUGCCCUCGCCCCAGCCACAUCUUAUAAGAAACCCAGAAAACUGCCAGAGUUUUUGUUAACCUUUCAAAACACUAGAAAUGAGUCUCAAUAAAAUCUAAACAUGAGUUCUUAGAGUGGUAGGGGAAAGCACAAAACUCCAACUCCUCAUCAACCCAGUAUAAAAAAAAAAAGGGAAAAAGCUUACACUGGAACCCAGACAGCUGGAAAAUACAACUAUGUAAUGACUUCAAACCCUUAGUAAACGCUGAGGAGGC
RNAcentral lists this long non-coding RNA (664 nucleotides) under Capra hircus (goat). RNAcentral describes it as "lncRNA (ENSCHIG00000003778.1)". Lineage: Eukaryota; Metazoa; Chordata; Mammalia; Artiodactyla; Bovidae. The record is from RNAcentral.